This 599-nucleotide ribosomal RNA is filed under the name Acinetobacter sp. 27AGV. RNAcentral describes it as "bacterial SSU rRNA". It matches the Rfam family "Bacterial small subunit ribosomal RNA", at positions 76 to 670 of the family's 1533-position model. Lineage: Bacteria; Pseudomonadati; Pseudomonadota; Gammaproteobacteria; Moraxellales; Moraxellaceae. The record is from RNAcentral.
UAGCUUGCUACUUGACCUAGCGGCGGACGGGUGAGUAAUGCUUAGGAAUCUGCCUAUUAGUGGGGGACAACAUCUCGAAAGGGAUGCUAAUACCGCAUACGUCCUACGGGAGAAAGCAGGGGACCUUCGGGCCUUGCGCUAAUAGAUGAGCCUAAGUCGGAUUAGCUAGUUGGUGGGGUAAAGGCCUACCAAGGCGACGAUCUGUAGCGGGUCUGAGAGGAUGAUCCGCCACACUGGGACUGAGACACGGCCCAGACUCCUACGGGAGGCAGCAGUGGGGAAUAUUGGACAAUGGGGGGAACCCUGAUCCAGCCAUGCCGCGUGUGUGAAGAAGGCCUUUUGGUUGUAAAGCACUUUAAGCGAGGAGGAGGCUACCGAGAUUAAUACUCUUGGAUAGUGGACGUUACUCGCAGAAUAAGCACCGGCUAACUCUGUGCCAGCAGCCGCGGUAAUACAGAGGGUGCAAGCGUUAAUCGGAUUUACUGGGCGUAAAGCGCGCGUAGGUGGCCAAUUAAGUCAAAUGUGAAAUCCCCGAGCUUAACUUGGGAAUUGCAUUCGAUACUGGUUGGCUAGAGUAUGGGAGAGGAUGGUAGAAUUCC